RNAcentral lists this ribosomal RNA (501 nucleotides) under uncultured bacterium. Its description in RNAcentral is "partial 16S ribosomal RNA". It matches the Rfam family "Bacterial small subunit ribosomal RNA", at positions 30 to 523 of the family's 1533-position model. The record is from RNAcentral.
AUUGAACGCAGGCGGCAGGCUUAACACAUGCAAGUCGAGCGGGGGAAGGUAGCUUGCUACCGGACCUAGCGGCGGACGGGUGAGUAAUGCUUAGGAAUCUGCCUAUUAGUGGGGGACAACAUCUCGAAAGGGAUGCUAAUACCGCAUACGUCCUACGGGAGAAAGCAGGGGAUCUUCGGACCUUGCGCUAAUAGAUGAACCUAAGUCGGAUUAGCUAGUUGGUGGGGUAAAGGCCUACCAAGGCGACGAUCUGUAGCGGGUCUGAGAGGAUGAUCCGCCACACUGGGACUGAGACACGGCCCAGACUCCUACGGGAGGCAGCAGUGGGGAAUAUUGGACAAUGGGGGGAACCCUGAUCCAGCCAUGCCGCGUGUGUGAAGAAGGCCUUAUGGUUGUAAAGCACUUUAAGCGAGGAGGAGGCUACUCUAGUUAAUACCUAGGGAUAGUGGACGUUACUCGCAGAAUAAGCACCGGCUAACUCUGUGCCAGCAGCCGCAGUAA